AAUCCUGAGGUUUUCAUACAGAAGAUACCCAUUCUUCCCGCGUCGUCCAUGCUGUUGAAUACAGCUUCCGAGCUAUAGACCCAGAAGAUGUCCCAAAUGACUCAUUACUGGAAUAAAUGUUUCUAAUGUUAAAGUUCCUACUGAGAACGUCCCAACAAACAGCCAGUCUCUAUGACUAAGGAAAUACUCCAGCUAAUGAUCUCCUGAUAGGCCAAGAAAUAUCAACAAGGCCAGGAGGCCUUGAAGGUCACUAUCUAACAGACGGUGGCACCAGCAGUGGGCCCAGUGAGAUGAUGAGGCUUGAUGGAACUCCUCUGUGGGAACCUGUGGGGGUGUGUGGAGCCCAUGAGUAGCUCGCUGAAAAGGGAAA
Lontra canadensis (Northern American river otter) is the source of this 370-nucleotide long non-coding RNA. RefSeq lists it as uncharacterized. The transcript has 3 exons. The record is from RefSeq and is a predicted model, not a curated record. NCBI's taxonomy places the organism in Eukaryota, Metazoa, Chordata, Mammalia, Carnivora, Mustelidae.